This is a long non-coding RNA of Bombus pascuorum, 848 nucleotides long. RefSeq lists it as uncharacterized. The record is from RefSeq and is a predicted model, not a curated record. Lineage: Eukaryota; Metazoa; Arthropoda; Insecta; Hymenoptera; Apidae. The transcript is spliced from 2 exons.
CGUUUCGACGUGUAAUUGGGUCACUUUAUGACGGUUGGCGAUCUUUAAUCACAGAUUUGGAAAGUAACGUUCGACGAAGCAGCAAAACGAAUGAUGAAAAUAUUCCCUGUCCCGUUGUUCUCGCUUAUUUUUGCGCACGUCGCGUCGCCAGACCAGCCGAGUUCGUCGCCAUUACGCCGUCGCUGAUAAGCUAAUCGACGCUGUAAAAAGCACAGUUCACGGGUGACAUCGUCGUUUCGUUCACGAUACUUGCGCCGGUACGAUAACGCGAUACGACCCGGAAACCUUCGAUACACCUGUUUCGGAGCUCCAAAGAUUACCAGCGCUUGCUGAGAUAUAGAACAGCGUAUAUGGGGUUAGAAAAGGUUGGGCAGGUUUUAGAGUUUCGUCGAGAUUCGAUUUAUGAGCAGAGGAAGAGGAAAGUUCCCUUACAUUAGUACCUAUGACUUAAAGGACCACCGAGGAAGAAUUGGUGAUUUUUGAAAAAGAACAGCUGUUCGGAAGCUUCUCAAGGCAACGAAUACGAUCUGCGAUCGUUAGAUGUUUGGUAAAAAAGUGGAUGGGCCAACAAAAAAUCAAUAUUCCAGGGCGUACGACGAAUUGAGAUACAAGGUAGUUGACGGCGAUUAGAGCUACCGGUGUGGCCCGAUUCUUGUGGUGUGACUAAUCUGUAAUUGGACAGAUUCGCAAACCACCGAGCAGCGAGUCGUCCCACGAGAUCUCCACCUUCGAAAUUGCAACCUACCUGUCCAGAGACUUCGUUUUAACAUACGCUAUGUAUAUUUAAUCAGUGUAUAGUACGAUCGUUGUAUAGUUCUAUUAAUACAAAAAAUUCCUUUUUCAGACAA